This 800-nucleotide ribosomal RNA is filed under the name uncultured bacterium. RNAcentral describes it as "bacterial SSU rRNA". It matches the Rfam family "Bacterial small subunit ribosomal RNA", at positions 8 to 781 of the family's 1533-position model. The record is from RNAcentral.
AGAGUUUGAUCCUGGCUCAGAACGAACGCUGGCGGCGUGGAUAAGACAUGCAAGUCGAACGCUGACUUCAGGGUAGCAAUAUUCUGGAGUCGGAGUGGCGCAAGGGUGCGUAACACGUGGGUAAUUUGCCGUGAAGCCCGGAAUAACUCGCUGAAAGGCGAGCUAAUACCGGAUGUGACUUCUGGGGGGCAUCCUCUGGAAUUCAAAGCUGGGGACCGCAAGGCCUGGCACUUCAUGAUAAGCCCGCGGCCUAUCAGCUAGUUGGUGAGGUAACGGCUCACCAAGGCUAAGACGGGUAGCUGGUCUGAGAGGACGACCAGCCUCACUGGAACUGAGACACGGUCCAGACACCUACGGGUGGCAGCAGUCGAGAAUUUUUCUCAAUGGGCGAAAGCCUGAAGGAGCGACGCCGCGUGGGGGAUGAAUGGCUUCGGCCCGUAAACCCCUGUCAUUUGCGAUCAAACCCUGUUAUUUAAAAGAUGACGGGCUGAUAGUAGCGAAAGAGGAAGGGACGGCUAACUCUGUGCCAGCAGCCGCGGUAAUACAGAGGUCCCAAGCGUUGUUCGGAUUCACUGGGCGUAAAGGGUGCGUAGGCGGCCGGGUAAGUCUGCUGUGAAAUCCCGCAGCUCAACUGCGGAACUGCAUUGGAUACUAUCCGGCUAGAGGAAUGGAGGGGAGACUGGAAUUCUCGGUGUAGCAGUGAAAUGCGUAGAUAUCGAGAGGAACACCAGUGGCGAAGGCGAGUCUCUGGACAUUUCCUGACGCUGAGGCACGAAAGCCAGGGGAGCAAACGGGAUUAG